UCCUUCNGGGNUUNNCGUUNUUCGGAAUUACUGGGCGUAAAGCGCGCGUAGGCGGAUUAGAAAGUUGGGGGUGAAAUCCCGGGGCUCAACCUCGGAACUGCCUCCAAAACUGCUAGUCUUGAGUUCGAGAGAGGUGAGUGGAAUUCCGAGUGUAGAGGUGAAAUCCGUAGAUAUUCGGAGGAACACCAGUGGCGAAGGCGGCUCACUGGCUCGAUACUGACGCUGAGGUGCGAAAGUGUGGGGAGCAAACAGG
Molecule: ribosomal RNA, 253 nt
Filed under: uncultured bacterium
Lineage: Bacteria
Description: partial 16S ribosomal RNA
Rfam family: Bacterial small subunit ribosomal RNA
Source: RNAcentral